Syngnathoides biaculeatus (alligator pipefish) is the source of this 185-nucleotide long non-coding RNA. RefSeq lists it as uncharacterized. NCBI's taxonomy places the organism in Eukaryota, Metazoa, Chordata, Actinopteri, Syngnathiformes, Syngnathidae. The transcript is spliced from 3 exons. The record is from RefSeq and is a predicted model, not a curated record.
UGGGGAUGGGACUUUGUGAACAACUGUGAGAUAUGCUGCCAUCCCAGCAACAGACUGUUGAGCGACUGAAGUACAUCAAGAAAGAGCGAGUAUAAUUCUGCCUACAAAGCUUCACCAGAAAUUCAAGUGGAGAGAAUAAGAGUCACAGGCCAUCUUCCCAGGCAGAUUCUCUUCAAUGUGAGCCU